UUGUUUUUUUUUACCAAAAUCUCAAGAAAAAAAAACCAAACCACCAUUUUCACCAAAAUUUUUGAAAAAUUUCGUUUUUUGGCCAAAAUACCAAAGACCGCUCUUCUCUUUGACAAAAUAUCAACAAUUCCCUCGUUUUUUCGUCGCCAAAGUUGCAAGUCCUGUUUUUUUUUCCAAAAAAUUGAAAAAAUCUUGGAACCAAAAUUUACAAAAAAGGCCCAAUUUUUGUCAAAUUGUUGAAAAAAUUGGACCUUUUUUGUCAGAAUUUAUAAAAAGACAUGAUUUUUCGCCACAGACGGAACAAAUUCUACAAAUUCCUCGUUAAAAAUUAUCUAGAUAGGUAUCUAUCUAUUUAAACCUACAUUUGAAAGCAUGAAAUAAAUAUUACAGUGAAAUACCCGUAAAAAUACAGAAUUUUCUUCAAAAACUAUUAAAAACAUUGGAAAUUGAAACACCUUGAAUUUUAAAGCCAAAUUGUUGAAAAAUUUUGAAAACUAUUUCAAAAAAUGACUUUUUCGACAUCUUUUUAUCAAAAAAAAAAAAAAAAAAAUAACAGUAGGUAACAUGAAAUUUUACGUUAUGUAUACCGAGAAAUUAAACGCUUUCCAUAUUCGUAGAAACCUAAAUACGGUAAACUCAUAUACAAAACUCCACUACAGAUAUUCCCACUCAUCAAGAUGAAGAACAAAUUGCAAACAUCUCGUAAAAAAUUAGCCACGAAAACCUCGCCAAAUCCAUUUCGAGAACUGAAGUAAAUUUUUAAAACCGAUGAAAAGAGUAUUGAAAAACCAUCGUAGAAAAAUUUCCCCAUCUUUAAAAAUUAAUUAAGAAGAGGAUGUUCGUUAAAAAAGUAUAUUUAGGGUACAUACUUGAAGUAUAGGUUUAGGUACCUCGAAUGUUUAUUUUUUACGAAGCGAAUCCGUCAAAGAUAAGAGCACCAUUAGAUACGUUUUGAAGUUGACGGCUUAAAUACUAAUCCUGAUUUUUAUCAAAGAAUGAGAGAAAUUGUAGUCUUGUAGUUUCAUAAUAAGCCUAUUCUAUUAAGAAAGAUCAAAAAUACGUCUCACGUACAUUUUUCCUUUUACUUAUCUUUAAAGAUGAGUUAUUAUUUUUAAUGCUGCGGCGAAAAUAUUUCUAAGAGGUGAGAAAUUUCACUAGAUAGGUAUCUUCUUUUUCGAAAUAAUUCUCUCUCUUUUGAAAAAUUCGUCCACAAAUCGAAUAAGAUGUGAAGUGCAAAACGAAAAAAAAUCUUGGCUGAGUGUACUGAAAAGUAAAAGGUAGGUAUGUAACGAAUGGAAAUUUUGAAACAGUUCUUUUUGACCUCUCACUUAAUUAUCUACUUAGCAUAUACGACUUCUUUCAAAUGAUGCCUUUGAAGAGACAGAAAGAGUCUUAUAUUAUUGCAUCAUUCUGAAACGAAAAAAACACCUUACUUAUUUUUUAUCAUCUAGAAAAUUCGUUACUUUGAUGAAAAUUUCAAAGAAUCUAUUAUUAGCAUUCUUAUAAAUGAGUUCAUUAUUCACACCUGAAAUACAACAUUUUCGCGAUAAUCAACAGAUUUUCUUUGUAAAAUGAAUGCAAUUCAUUCAAAAAUUUCAUCAUUCUAUUAAAAUUUUGUCAAAAUGUUACUAAAAGUCACCAAAAUCAACGAACUCGAAUAAUAAUGAGACAAACAUCACAUCGGUGUCGAAAAUUCUGCGAUUUUUCAAGCACCUAUUUUCAAACAAAAAAUCAAAUUUGGUUAACUUCUUCAGAGUCGAGUGAAAUAUACUCGUAGUUAAUCCAAUACCAAAACAAUCGAGCUUUAUUAUUAAAGGAAAAUCAAAUUCAGGUAUCAAAGAGGUUAUCUAUCUGCCAAAUGUUGAUAUAACGAACGCCUCAUGUUGGACGAUUAGUGCAAAGUGUAACCAGACACUUUUUAUUAAACCGAUAAAAUCACGCCAUCGUCUUAUCUUCGAAUUUCAUUUACAAUUUUUACUAUAAAUACUCGAAAAAAUCUACUCAACGGUACAGUCUAAUUUUCGUAUUCUUCAAGUGUCUUACUUGUGCUUUAUUUGCAACUUUUUUCGUUUGCGUUUCGCAUUUCAAAACCAAUAAUUAAAAUGGGCAAAGAACGUGUAACCAUGAACUUCGAAUUGGUCGGACAAGGCAAAGAAAAAUCCAGCAUGGAAUUCUCGGUUAUCGGCCAAGGAAAAGAAAAGACCAGCAUGGACUUCACCGUCAUUGGCCAAGGCAAAGAAAAGUCCAGCAUGGACAUCGUCGCCAUCGACAACGGCAAAGAAAAAAUCAACUUCGAUAUCAUCAGCUUAUAAGCGAUUUUCCAGUAAUUUUACGCAUAUUUUGUAAGUUAAUUUUUAGUUUAAUGUUUUUUUUUUUUGAACGCACCGAUGGCAGUUAAAAUCUAAUUCAGCAACAACACAACCUGUUAAAAAAAUUUAAAUAUACUGUAGUUUAAACCUUCAAA
This is a long non-coding RNA of Planococcus citri (citrus mealybug), 2464 nucleotides long. RefSeq lists it as uncharacterized. The transcript is spliced from 2 exons. The record is from RefSeq and is a predicted model, not a curated record. Lineage: Eukaryota; Metazoa; Arthropoda; Insecta; Hemiptera; Pseudococcidae.